This 340-nucleotide unclassified non-coding RNA is filed under the name Hevea brasiliensis (rubber tree). The record is from RNAcentral. Lineage: Eukaryota; Viridiplantae; Streptophyta; Magnoliopsida; Malpighiales; Euphorbiaceae.
AGUGUGCAGGCUGUUAUGUAACAGUGUGCCAUACAUUGAAAAUAUUGCAAGCUAAGAAGCAACAACAAACACUAGGAACAACACUAUACUUUGAAAAAGUUGCCAAUGGUUAACGUCAACUAUCUAAAUUUCCACUAAGAGAUCUAUAUCAUGAACUCAGUCAUAUCAGCGUGCAACUAAGUGCUGCUUCAUUGACAUUAUAUCACCAAUAUUUACAUUUGCAGCAACUAGCAAAUAAAACCCUUAGUCAUUGGCAUUUUAAAAGUUUUUUUAACUGCCUAAAGACAUAAAACUAACUCUAAAGUCCACUUGUGAACAUAACUUAGAAAACUGCAGAAAG